RNAcentral lists this unclassified non-coding RNA (229 nucleotides) under Hevea brasiliensis (rubber tree). Lineage: Eukaryota; Viridiplantae; Streptophyta; Magnoliopsida; Malpighiales; Euphorbiaceae. The record is from RNAcentral.
CAUCUGGGAUUGGGUUGACCAGGUUUAGAAUCCUUUUAAGUUCUUUAAAAAUUGGUAAAUAACCAAUAGAAAUUUGAACUUUCUGCCAUGUGAAGCUAACCAAAAAUCUUUACUGCUAUGGUUUUACAUUACAUCAACUUAACCAACAUCAUGUAACAAUCUUUGCAAUUAUAACUAAUCAAUUCUGUGAUGCACAGCCUAAUUUGAAAGUUUAGGACCAAGGCUGGGA